This is a long non-coding RNA of Leopardus geoffroyi (Geoffroy's cat), 1433 nucleotides long. RefSeq lists it as uncharacterized. The transcript has 2 exons. The record is from RefSeq and is a predicted model, not a curated record. Lineage: Eukaryota; Metazoa; Chordata; Mammalia; Carnivora; Felidae.
AUUACCAAAAUUCUUAAAUUUACUUCCUUACCCAACUUACCAAAAGCAACUAUUUGCACAAUAAAAAGGAAUUACCUCUCUUAAUCCACCUCAAAAUAGCUCUUCUCCUGGUUCUCCCUCUGGCCCACCUCUGCCAGUUUUAAAUGUGCAGGAUGUAUGUUAGUUCUUCGAGGCAGGUGGCUACAGGCAUUAGCUGAGCAGGGACUCAGGACACCAGCCUUCAGUGACCCAAAAGUGAAUGAUGAACAGCUGAUCCAUCUAGAAUGUCAACAGUGCCCUUGGUGAGAAGCACUCCUGGUCUUUACAGUAAGGGCAAUUUAAUAGGAAGUCAAAUCAACAACGAGUAACGAAAUGCCUCCUGGGUGCUAGGCCAAGUGCUGGGUGAUAAAGGAGAUAGAGAAGUAAGACACGAUGUCCGGUCCUCAUGAAGCUUAUGGCAAACAGAGAAGUCACUAAAAGAGCCAGAAUAACUGCACAGAAAUAUUAAUAACCACCGUAAAGGAGAUCUCAAAGUGAAAGACCUUCCUUUAAUUUGGGACAUCGGGAAAAGCUUUAUCGACAAGAUGAUGUUUGAAAGGGCCUGGAAGGGUAUGUAAAAUGGGGGCGGGGGACAACUGUGCAGAGAAAUGUCACCCACCAAGGCAUGCAUGAUGAAGUGGGGAAAUUUUUAUUUUCUGAAAAAAAGAAAUCCAGCUCAUUGACAGACAGAGAAAACAGACUGGUAGUUGCCAGAGGUGGGGUGAAGCGGGUCAAAAGGUGGAAAGUUCCGGUUAUAAAGGUGGAAAGUUCCGGUUUUAAAGGAAGUCCUAAGGCUGUGAUGCCCAGCACGGCAACUAUAGGUAACGAUCCUGCGAAGCACAUUUGAAAGUCACUAUGAGAGUAAAUCUUAAAAGUUCUCAUCACAAGAAAAAAACGUUCUGUGACUAUGUGUGGUGACGGACGUUAACCAGACGUGCAACGGUGAUCAUUUCGCACCAGAUGCAAACGGCGCAUCGUCGCGUCGCCCACCUGAAGCUUACAUCACGUGGUAUGUGAAUUAUGCCUCAGUUACACCACAUCAUCUUCCGAACAGGAUGGUACAAAAGGACUUGUAGGGAGAAUCCUGCCUCUCUGGUAGGAGAAGCCGCUCUGUAAAAUCAUCAUGAUAUCGGCAGCAGCGUCGUCAGCAGCAGCCGGCCUUCAGCUCCGUUACUAAUGCUGUCAAAAAUGCACAGAUCCCUUUCUCGGCCGCCCUGAAGUCACGUGUCCCCAGGAAAAACCACGAGAUUCUCCACAUCACUGACAGAUACCCCAGUAUACUGAGUACACCGUUCCUAAAAGCUGGAAAUUCAGCAAGUGGCUGCAUAACAGCUCAUUUGGUUGAAAAUCCCUUUGGAGGGAGUCUUAUCAAAGCCAAUUCCCUGUCUACGUAAAAUCUGGUGCCUCUGAGUUCA